This 739-nucleotide ribosomal RNA is filed under the name uncultured bacterium. RNAcentral's name for it is "bacterial SSU rRNA". It matches the Rfam family "Bacterial small subunit ribosomal RNA", at positions 28 to 760 of the family's 1533-position model. The record is from RNAcentral.
AGUGAACGCUGGCGGCAGGCCUAACACAUGCAAGUCGAGCGGCAGCGCGGGGGCAACCCUGGCGGCGAGCGGCGGACGGGUGAGGAAUACAUCGGAAUCUACCCAGUCGUGGGGGCAUAACGUAGGGAAACUUACGCUAAUACCGCAUACGACCUGAGGGUGAAAGCAGGGGACCGCAAGGCCUUGCGCGAUUGGAUGAGCCGAUGUCCGAUUAGCUAGUUGGUGAGGUAAAGGCUCACCAAGGCGACGAUCGGUAGCUGGUCUGAGAGGAUGAUCAGCCACACUGGAACUGAGACACGGUCCAGACUCCUACGGGAGGCAGCAGUGGGGAACUAUUGGACAAUGGGCGCAAGCCUGAUCCAGCCAUGCCGCGUGUGUGAAGAAGGCCUCGGGUUGUAAAGCACUUUUGUCCGGAAAGAAAUCCUGUCGGUUAAUACCUGGCGGGGAUGACGGUACCGGAAGAAUAAGCACCGGCUAACUUCGUGCCAGCAGCCGCGGUAAUACGAAGGGUGCAAGCGUUACUCGGAAUUACUGGGCGUAAAGCGUGCGUAGGCGGUUCGUCAAGUCAGAUGUGAAAGCCCCGGGCUCAACCUGGGAAUUGCAUUUGAUACUGGCGGGCUAGAGUACGGUAGAGGGAGGUGGAAUUCCCGGUGUAGCAGUGAAAUGCGUAGAGAUCGGGAGGAACAUCUGUGGCGAAGGCGGCCCACCUGGACCAGUACUGACGCUGAGGCACGAAAAG